CUUUUCUAUGGAAGCUUGCUUCCACUGAGAAGAUAGUGGCGGACGGGUGAGUAACACGUGGGUAACCUGCCCAUAAGAGGGGGAUAACAUCCGGAAACGGGUGCUAAUACCGCAUAGUUUUCUUGAUCGCAUGAUUGAGAAAGGAAAGACGGCCUUUGUGCUGUCGCUUAUGGAUGGACCCGCGGCGUAUUAGUUAGUUGGUGAGGUAACGGCUCACCAAGACGAUGAUACGUAGCCGACCUGAGAGGGUGAUCGGCCACAUUGGGACUGAGACACGGCCCAAACUCCUACGGGAGGCAGCAGUAGGGAAUCUUCCGCAAUGGACGAAAGUCUGACGGAGCAACGCCGCGUGAGUGAAGAAGGUUUUCGGAUCGUAAAACUCUGUUGUCAGAGAAGAACAAGUCGGAGAGUAACUGCUCCGGCCUUGACGGUAUCUGACCAGAAAGCCACGGCUAACUACGUGCCAGCAGCCGCGGUAAUACGUAGGUGGCAAGCGUUGUCCGGAUUUAUUGGGCGUAAAGCGAGCGCAGGCGGUUCCUUAAGUCUGAUGUGAAAGCCCACGGCUCAACCGUGGAAGGUCAUUGGAAACUGGGGAACUUGAGUGCAGAAGAG
RNAcentral lists this ribosomal RNA (612 nucleotides) under uncultured Carnobacteriaceae bacterium. Its description in RNAcentral is "bacterial SSU rRNA". It matches the Rfam family "Bacterial small subunit ribosomal RNA", at positions 67 to 656 of the family's 1533-position model. Lineage: Bacteria; Bacillati; Bacillota; Bacilli; Lactobacillales; Carnobacteriaceae. The record is from RNAcentral.